UACGUAGGGUGCAAGCGUUGUCCGGAAUUAUUGGGCGUAAAGAGCUCGUAGGCGGUCUGUUGCGUCGGCUGUGAAAACCCGGGGCUCAACCCCGGGCCUGCAGCCGAUACGGGCAGACUAGAGUCCAGUAGGGGAGCGUGGAAUUCCUGGUGUAGCGGUGAAAUGCGCAGAUAUCAGGAGGAACACCAGCGGCGAAGGCGGCGCUCUGGGCUGGAACUGACGCUGAGGAGCGAAAGCGUGGGGAGCAAACAGG
This 253-nucleotide ribosomal RNA is filed under the name uncultured bacterium. Its description in RNAcentral is "partial 16S ribosomal RNA". It matches the Rfam family "Bacterial small subunit ribosomal RNA", at positions 524 to 776 of the family's 1533-position model. The record is from RNAcentral.